UUAACACAUGCAAGUCGAACGAUGAUGCCAGCUUGCUGGUGGAUUAGUGGCGAACGGGUGAGUAACACGUGAGUAACCUGCCCUUGACUCUGGGAUAAGCCUGGGAAACUGGGUCUAAUACCGGAUAUGACUGAUCAUCGCAUGGUGGUUGGUGGAAAGCUUUUGUGGUUUUGGAUGGACUCGCGGCCUAUCAGCUUGUUGGUGGGGUAAUGGCCUACCAAGGCGACGACGGGUAGCCGGCCUGAGAGGGUGACCGGCCACACUGGGACUGAGACACGGCCCAGACUCCUACGGGAGGCAGCAGUGGGGAAUAUUGCACAAUGGGCGAAAGCCUGAUGCAGCGACGCCGCGUGAGGGAUGACGGCCUUCGGGUUGUAAACCUCUUUCAGUAGGGAAGAAGCGUAAGUGACGGUACCUGCAGAAGAAGCGCCGGCUAACUACGUGCCAGCAGCCGCGGUAAUACGUAGGGCGCAAGCGUUAUCCGGAAUUAUUGGGCGUAAAGAGCUAGUAGGCGGUAUGUCGCGUCUGCCGUGAAAGUCCGGGGCUCAACUCCGGAUCUGCGGUGGGUACGGGCAGACUAGAGUGAUGUAGGGGAGACUGGAAUUCCUGGUGUAGCGGUGAAAUGCGCAGAUAUCAGGAGGAACACCGAUGGCGAAGGCAGGUCUCUGGGCAUUAACUGACGCUGAUGAGCGAAAGCAUGGGGAGCG
RNAcentral lists this ribosomal RNA (707 nucleotides) under uncultured Actinomycetes bacterium. Its description in RNAcentral is "bacterial SSU rRNA". It matches the Rfam family "Bacterial small subunit ribosomal RNA", at positions 48 to 770 of the family's 1533-position model. Lineage: Bacteria; Bacillati; Actinomycetota; Actinomycetes. The record is from RNAcentral.